Long non-coding RNA from Pomacea canaliculata, 1897 nucleotides. RefSeq lists it as uncharacterized. The transcript has 4 exons. The record is from RefSeq and is a predicted model, not a curated record. NCBI's taxonomy places the organism in Eukaryota, Metazoa, Mollusca, Gastropoda, Architaenioglossa, Ampullariidae.
UGUGUGUGACUGUGUCCGCGCGUGUCUAUGCCGCUAAUGUAUGUCUGUGUGUGUGUGACUGUGUCCGCGCGUGUCUAUGCCGCUAACAAGGCGCACAGGCCUCUCAUCGCCUCGUCCACAGCUCGGAGCGUUGCCGCGCGUGCUGCGGCUCGACCUGCGCAGCGCUGUUUGCUGCCGGACCUGCUGUACAGCACCGCCGGCCAGUGGAGGGCACGUGCACGCCACUCUGUUGUGGAAGACUGGAGGUGGCGAGGCCAGCCCGGCAACCACUACACAACUAACCCAGUCAUGUGCGCGCCGCGUCUGUCGUGCUGCAGGCCACACACAAGCUUCACAUGCAGCACCACCACAACCACCACCAGCAGCAGCAGCAACAUCGUCACUUCUUUUCUCGGCGAGAAACCGUGACGUGCGGCCUGGGCUGGUGACAACUUGGAUGUGACCGAGGCAAUAGUUUGACUUUGUUCCCCAGUGUCCACUUCACAAGUUUCUAGAUGAUAAGAACCUGAGAUUUUGCGAGCCACGAAAGACGCUUGCGGUGAGGAGGACAAACUUUCGCCAUUCGCACCCACAUUUACAGGAGCGGACUCGAACAUCUUGCUGCAUUUGUGCUUAAUUUUCCCAUGUUCGAUUUUCCCUAACCCUGGAUAUUCCUCGACAUCGCAACUGGAAUAUGCCAAGGGCACUCGAACCCCGCUGCAUCAGUGAUGAGCACGGCUGUCCGCACGGGAGGAGAGGAGACAACCAGUGCAUCACUUAGGGGUAGGGAGGGGAGGAGAAUACAGAAGGGGGCACUCACCCGCUCUUUCGACGUUGAGGAGGAACCGGGACAACCUAACCAGACGUGACCUGGAGCUUGACCCUGAACGCGACCGCACGCUUGGCUCUGAGGCGGAGAGUGGCAGCUAGCAUCUCGUUCCCCCCUGGUCCCCCCACUGCACGGUCGGGUGGUAGUCAAGGUCGGGUUUGUGCACCCUGCAGGCGUCAACGUGCACCCCGCUGUGUUUGCUUCGUCCACAGAAGCUCGCGUGCAUUCCACACGCGCCUCGCUCGCCAUCGCCCGCAUCAGUCUCGUGUGACUGCCCCGAGAUUCCCCGCGAGACUUUCCACAAACUUACUCUUCUCCUGCUGCAUGUAUCGCCGCAUCUGGAAGACGUGACUACGGCAGCACAGUCGUCCCCCGAGCCACGGGUAUGCCGGGUAUGCCGGGUGCACUGCUACAGUUUCUUGUGACCGAGCGCACGAAAUGUUGGUCAACCAACCAUCAAGCACCAAGACUUUGAUUAUUCACGAUCCUCGCGGUCUUCGAGACUCGAUUCUGCUUCAGGUUCUGCUGGGAGGUUCCGUGGUGAGUCCGUGUGGUCUGCUCGACUAUUAGCUUUCAAACCAACUUGACAUGAUCGAUGGUCGGGCGUGAAAAACAAACGCCACUGAUAAGACUUACAUAGAAAACGGAAACUUGCUUCGUGCCACAGUCUUGUCGUCGCUGAAGUAAUUGAAUAAUCUCACUGGAGGCUGGAAAGUUCUAGAACAAGUGACAAGAGCUGAAAGGUUCACAGCGUACCGAAGCUUUGGAUGCUAAUUUACACUACAUCUUUCACUGGAUGGGUGACCUUUGUGCUGACCUGCAGUGUCCGUCAUUCGGAAGUGCUGCAGCCUACCGUCAUGCUGAAUGAGUACCGUUAUUCCUGGCAACGAUCGAUGUUGGAAGGUCUGCUUUCGUUUCUCAUCCAACCCCGGGUGAUACGUGGACCAGUCACGUGCAGGCAACGCACACGAAAGCCCGUAUGUCUAUGCACACAGACGCGCUGCAGACGGAAGGAGUGUAUAUGCGGAUGAAGGAAUGUGAGAAGCAUCAGUCUAAAAAAAGGAACAUAAGUAACUGGUCGCAUCUUAA